UUUCCGUAGGUGAACCUGCGGAAGGAUCAUUAUCGUAUAACGGAGGCGUGAGGGCUGUCGCUGACCUUUGAAGGUCGUGCACGCCCUUGCGCUCUCUCACACAUCCAUCUCACCCCUUUGUGCAUCACCGCGUGGGUCCCCCUUACAGGAGGGCUCGCGUUUUCACAUAAAACUUCAAUACAGUAUAGAAUGUUUUUCUUUUCAUUUGCGGUCACACGCAAUCAAUACAACUUUCAACAACGGAUCUCUUGGCUCUC
Molecule: unclassified non-coding RNA, 257 nt
Filed under: root metagenome
Description: partial contains small subunit ribosomal RNA, internal transcribed spacer 1, and 5.8S ribosomal RNA
Source: RNAcentral